RNAcentral lists this ribosomal RNA (453 nucleotides) under uncultured bacterium. Its description in RNAcentral is "bacterial SSU rRNA". It matches the Rfam family "Bacterial small subunit ribosomal RNA", at positions 349 to 793 of the family's 1533-position model. The record is from RNAcentral.
CAGCAGUGGGGAAUAUUGCACAAUGGGGGAAACCCUGAUGCAGCCAUGCCGCGUGUGUGAAGAAGGGCCUUACGGGUUGUAAAGCACUUUCAGUAGGGAGGAAGGUAGUGUAGUUAACACCUGCAUUAUUUGACGUUACCUACAGAAGAAGCACCGGCUAACUCCGUGCCAGCAGCCGCGGUAAUACGGAGGGUGCGAGCGUUAAUCGGAAUUACUGGGCGUAAAGCGCAUGCAGGCGGCCUGUUAAGUCAGAUGUGAAAGCCCGGGGCUUAACCUCGGAAUUGCAUUUGAAACUGGCAGGCUAGAGUCUUGUAGAGGGGGUAGAAUUUCAGGUGUAGCGGUGAAAUGCGUAGAGAUCUGAAGGAAUACCAGUGGCGAAGGCGGCCCCCUGGACAAAGACUGACGCUCAGAUGCGAAAGCGUGGGGAGCAAACAGGAUUAGAUACCCUGGUAG